GGAGUGGCCGACUCAUUCCUGAUCCUCUUGAUCUUAGGGCUCAACAAGCCCCUGUGCCUAAACCCGUAAAGCUUAAGCACCUGGUUAUCAGCAAAAUUAAAAGCCCUCUCCAUGCUGCUCAAGCACCUCUCCACCGGAUAAUCCCCAUAACUCCCACAAGGCUUGCAACCCACAAAAUGUGUCACAAACGGCCACCUCUCAUCCCCCAAUCCCGGAUGAUACUUCUCUAUCAUCUCCUCAUACCGAUCCACC
Molecule: long non-coding RNA, 252 nt
Filed under: Fragaria vesca (wild strawberry)
Lineage: Eukaryota; Viridiplantae; Streptophyta; Magnoliopsida; Rosales; Rosaceae
Description: long non-coding RNA (FVES_LNC002267)
Source: RNAcentral